CAGUGGGGAAUAUUGGACAAUGGGCGAAAGCCUGAUCCAGCCAUGCCGCGUGUGUGAAGAAGGUCUUCGGAUUGUAAAGCACUUUAAGUUGGGAGGAAGGGUUGUAGAUUAAUACUCUGCAAUUUUGACGUUACCGACAGAAUAAGCACCGGCUAACUCUGUGCCAGCAGCCGCGGUAAUACAGAGGGUGCAAGCGUUAAUCGGAAUUACUGGGCGUAAAGCGCGCGUAGGUGGUUUGUUAAGUUGGAUGUGAAAUCCCCGGGCUCAACCUGGGAACUGCAUUCAAAACUGACUGACUAGAGUAUGGUAGAGGGUGGUGGAAUUUCCUGUGUAGCGGUGAAAUGCGUAGAUAUAGGAAGGAACACCAGUGGCGAAGGCGACCACCUGGACUAAUACUGACACUGAGGUGCGAAGC
RNAcentral lists this ribosomal RNA (415 nucleotides) under Pseudomonas sp. 8C2. Its description in RNAcentral is "bacterial SSU rRNA". It matches the Rfam family "Bacterial small subunit ribosomal RNA", at positions 352 to 760 of the family's 1533-position model. Lineage: Bacteria; Pseudomonadati; Pseudomonadota; Gammaproteobacteria; Pseudomonadales; Pseudomonadaceae. The record is from RNAcentral.